Molecule: ribosomal RNA, 640 nt
Filed under: uncultured fungus
Lineage: Eukaryota; Fungi
Description: eukaryotic LSU rRNA
Rfam family: 5.8S ribosomal RNA (bases 232-385)
Source: RNAcentral
AGUAAAAGUCGUAACAAGGUUUCCGUAGGUGAACCUGCGGAAGGAUCAUUAACGAGUUGAACGGGGUUGUAGCUGGCCUUCACGGGCAUGUGCACACCUCACUCAUCCACUCUACACCUGUGCACUUACUGUGGGUUUCGAGAGGCCGCGCUUGCGUGGUUGAUCGGGCUCACGUCUAUUACAAACUCUUCAGUAUCAGAAUGUGUAUCGCGAUGUAACGCAUCUAUAUACAACUUUCAGCAACGGAUCUCUUGGCUCUCGCAUCGAUGAAGAACGCAGCGAAAUGCGAUAAGUAAUGUGAAUUGCAGAAUUCAGUGAAUCAUCGAAUCUUUGAACGCACCUUGCGCUCCUUGGUAUUCCGAGGAGCAUGCCUGUUUGAGUGUCGUGUAAUUCUCAACCUAUAAAUCCUUGUGGUUUUUAGGCUUGGACUUGGAGGCUUUUGCUGGCUUUACCGUCGGCUCCUCUUAAACGCAUUAGCUUGAUUCCUUGCGGAUCGGCUCUCAGUGUGAUAAUUAUCUGCGCUGUGACCGUGAAGCGUUUGGCGGGCUUCUAACCGUCUCUUCGAGACAAACACUUUGACAUCUGACCUCAAAUCAGGUAGGACUACCCGCUGAACUUAAGCAUAUCAAUAAGCGGAGGA